UCUGUUAGCAGAAGACUCUGCAAGUGCCAUAUUUUGCCAGUGUAUAUGUACUUUUUGCCCAAAUUUUUGAGGGAAAAUAAGGAUGCGCCUUAUACAUGGGUAGUACUAAUUCCGUAUCUAUAUAAAUGUUGGAAAAUGUUGAAACAGUUUUUGUACACUGCAAGCUUUAAGCUAAAAGUUAUUAAA
Molecule: long non-coding RNA, 186 nt
Organism: Phyllostomus discolor (pale spear-nosed bat)
Lineage: Eukaryota; Metazoa; Chordata; Mammalia; Chiroptera; Phyllostomidae
Exons: 3
Source: RefSeq, a predicted model, not a curated record